RNAcentral lists this ribosomal RNA (269 nucleotides) under uncultured Planctomycetales bacterium. Its description in RNAcentral is "partial 16S ribosomal RNA". It matches the Rfam family "Bacterial small subunit ribosomal RNA", at positions 565 to 832 of the family's 1533-position model. Lineage: Bacteria; Pseudomonadati; Planctomycetota; Planctomycetia; Planctomycetales. The record is from RNAcentral.
GAGCACGUAGGUGGGUUUGUAAGUCAGAUGUAAAAGCCAUCUGUUCAACGGAAGAAUUGCAUCUGAAACUGCGAGUCUUGAGUGUAGGAGGGGAGAAUGGAACUUCUGGUGGAGCGGUGAAAUGCGUAGAUAUCAGAAGGAACUCCGGCGGCGAAAGCGAUUCUCUGGCCUAUUACUGACACUCAGUGUGCGAAAGCUAGGGGAGCAAACUGGAUUAGAUACCCCGGUAGUCCUAGCCGUAAAUGAUGGGCACUAAGUAGAGGGGUUUU